GGGGGGGGGGGGGGGGGGGGGGGGGGGGUGGGGGUCGGGCGCUUGUUUCGGGGCGAGGGCUUGCACUCGAUGGGAAAGGGGGGUGGCGGACGGGGGAGUAACACGGGGGUAACCUACCCAUCAGAGGGGGAUAACACUUGGAAACAGGUGCUAAUACCGCAUAACAGUUUAUGCCGCAUGGCAUAAGAGUGAAAGGCGCUUUCGGGUGUCGUUGAUGGAUGGACCCGCGGUGCAUUAGCUAGUUGGUGAGGUAACGGCUCACCAAGGCCACGAUGCAUAGCCGACCUGAGAGGGUGAUCGGCCACACUGGGACUGAGACACGGCCCAGACUCCUACGGGAGGCAGCAGUAGGGAAUCUUCGGCAAUGGACGAAAGUCUGACCGAGCAACGCCGCGUGAGUGAAGAAGGUUUUCGGAUCGUAAAACUCUGUUGUUAGAGAAGAACAAGGACGUUAGUAACUGAACGUCCCCUGACGGUAUCUAACCAGAAAGCCACGGCUAACUACGUG
Molecule: ribosomal RNA, 508 nt
Filed under: uncultured bacterium
Lineage: Bacteria
Description: partial 16S ribosomal RNA
Rfam family: Bacterial small subunit ribosomal RNA
Source: RNAcentral